Long non-coding RNA from Peromyscus eremicus (cactus mouse), 451 nucleotides. RefSeq lists it as uncharacterized. The transcript is spliced from 3 exons. Lineage: Eukaryota; Metazoa; Chordata; Mammalia; Rodentia; Cricetidae. The record is from RefSeq and is a predicted model, not a curated record.
AGGCUACAUACAGUUCAUAAUGGUGAGGAAGUCAUGGUGGCAGACUCAGGCAGUGUCUAGUCAUGUUGCAUCUGCGUCCACGAAGCAGAGAGCAAUGCAUGGGGUCCUCAGCUCCCUUUCUACUUUUUAUGCAGUCCAGGAUCUCAGGCCAUGGCAUGGCACCACUCACAAUCAAGCCUCAGACCUUCAACAUGGCUAUGAUCUGAAGUGCUGGCUCCUGACAUCAAGUUGAAGUUCAGGAUUGCUUCAUCCAACCUUGGAGGAGGAGGUGCCUGGUCUCACUGCUGCUUGAUAUACCAUGGCUGGCUGAUAUCCACGGGAUGCCCAUCUGUAUCUGAGGAGAAAUAGUGGAGGAGGAGUGGAUGUGAUGAGGAGGGGGGAAGGAAGGGGAGGCCUGGGAAGAAAGGAUGGAGGGGAAGCUUUAGUUAGGAUGUAAAAACAAGAAAAAAAA